UAGGGAAUCUUCCGCAAAGGGCGAAAGCCUGACGGAGCAACGCCGCGUGAGUGAUGAAGGUCUUCGGAUCGUAAAACUCUGUUAUUAGGGAAGAACAAAUGUGUAAGUACCUAUGCCCGUCUUGACGGUACCUAAUCAGAAAGCCACGGCUAAUUACGUGCCAGCAGCCGCAGUAAUACGUAGGUGGCAAGCGUUAUCCGGAAUUAUUGGGCGUAAAGCGCGCGGAGGCGGUUUUUUAAGUCUGAUGUGAAAGCGCAAGGCUCAACCGUGGAGGGUCAUUGGAAACUGGAAAACUUGAGUGCAGAAGAGGAAAGGGGAAUUCCAUGUGUAGCGGUGAAAUGCGCAGAGAUAUGGAGGAACACCAGUGGCGAAGGCGAAUUUCUGGUCUGUAACUGACGCUGAUGUGCGAAAGCGUGGGGAUCAAACAGG
Molecule: ribosomal RNA, 429 nt
Filed under: Actinomycetes bacterium
Lineage: Bacteria; Bacillati; Actinomycetota; Actinomycetes
Description: Actinobacteria bacterium partial 16S ribosomal RNA
Rfam family: Bacterial small subunit ribosomal RNA
Source: RNAcentral